RNAcentral lists this ribosomal RNA (435 nucleotides) under uncultured Oscillospiraceae bacterium. RNAcentral describes it as "bacterial SSU rRNA". It matches the Rfam family "Bacterial small subunit ribosomal RNA", at positions 341 to 792 of the family's 1533-position model. The record is from RNAcentral. Lineage: Bacteria; Bacillati; Bacillota; Clostridia; Eubacteriales; Oscillospiraceae.
ACGGGAGGCAGCAGUCGGGAAUAUUGCGCAAUGGAGGAAACUCUGACGCAGUGACGCCGCGUGCAGGAAGAAGGUUUUCGGAUUGUAAACUGCUUUAGACAGGGAAGAAACAAGACAGUACCUGUAGAAUAAGCUCCGGCUAACUACGUGCCAGCAGCCGCGGUAAUACGUAGGGAGCGAGCGUUAUCCGGAUUUAUUGGGUGUAAAGGGUGCGUAGACGGGAAAUUAAGUUAGUUGUGAAAUCCCAAGGCUCAACUUUGGAACUGCAACUAAAACUAAUUUUCUUGAGUACUGGAGAGGAAAGUGGAAUUCCUAGUGUAGCGGUGAAAUGCGUAGAUAUUAGGAGGAACACCAGUGGCGAAGGCGGCUUACUGGACGGCAACUGACGUUGAGGCUCGAAGGCGUGGGGAGCAAACAGGAUUAGAUACCCUGGUA